Molecule: unclassified non-coding RNA, 196 nt
Filed under: Conocybe bulbifera
Lineage: Eukaryota; Fungi; Basidiomycota; Agaricomycetes; Agaricales; Bolbitiaceae
Description: partial internal transcribed spacer 2
Source: RNAcentral
AAUUCUCAAUCUCUACAACUUUGUUGUUUAGUGGAUUGGAUGUGGGGGUUUCUGUGGGUGUUUAAGUACAUUCCACUCCCCUGAAAUGAAUUAGCUGGAAUGCCUCGGCAAGUCCAACUAUCAGUGUGAUAAAUAUCUACUGUGGUUGUUGCAUGAGGGUAUCUGCUUCUCAACUGUCGCAAGACAACUUGAAUCA